Molecule: ribosomal RNA, 480 nt
Filed under: uncultured bacterium
Lineage: Bacteria
Description: partial 16S ribosomal RNA
Rfam family: Bacterial small subunit ribosomal RNA
Source: RNAcentral
GAUGAACGCUCGCGGCAGGCCUAACACAUGCAAGUCGAGGGGGAAGUUACUUUCGGGUGACUGAGACCGGCGUACGGGUGCGUAACGCGUAUACAAUCUGCCUUUCACUGGGGGAUAGCCCGAAGAAAUUUGGAUUAAUACCCCAUAGUAUAUAGGGACGGCAUCGUUUUUAUAUUAAAGCUUAGGUGGUGAAAGAUGAGUAUGCGUUCUAUUAGCUAGUUGGAGAGGUAACGGCUCCCCAAGGCGAUGAUAGAUAGGGGUUCUGAGAGGGAUGUCCCCCACACUGGUACUGAGAUACGGACCAGACUCCUACGGGAGGCAGCAGUGAGGAAUAUUGGACAAUGGUCGGAAGACUGAUCCAGCCAUGCCGCGUGCAGGAUGAAGGUCUUAUGGAUUGUAAACUGCUUUUGUAAGGGAAGAAUAAGGGCUACGCGUAGUUUGAUGACGGUACCUGACGAAUAAGCAUCGGCUAACUCCGUG